AAGUCUAAAAUGACUCUCGGCAACGGAUAUCUCGGCUCUCGCAUCGAUGAAGAACGUAGCGAAAUGCGAUACUUGUGUGACAACGGUACCAAAGNNANNC
RNAcentral lists this ribosomal RNA (100 nucleotides) under Morus australis (Aino mulberry). Its description in RNAcentral is "partial 5.8S ribosomal RNA". The stretch from base 12 to 100 matches the Rfam family "5.8S ribosomal RNA", at positions 1 to 90 of the family's 154-position model. From Rfam's summary of the family: 5.8S ribosomal RNA (5.8S rRNA) is a component of the large subunit of the eukaryotic ribosome. It is transcribed by RNA polymerase I as part of the 45S precursor that also contains 18S and 28S rRNA. Lineage: Eukaryota; Viridiplantae; Streptophyta; Magnoliopsida; Rosales; Moraceae. The record is from RNAcentral.